Molecule: ribosomal RNA, 572 nt
Filed under: Parengyodontium album
Lineage: Eukaryota; Fungi; Ascomycota; Sordariomycetes; Hypocreales; Cordycipitaceae
Description: eukaryotic LSU rRNA
Rfam family: Eukaryotic large subunit ribosomal RNA
Source: RNAcentral
CUAGCCCCAGGUGGCGCGCGAGCUGCAGCGAGUCAACAGACUUCAGGAGUCUGAAAUGCGUCGGCUCACCCAGGGCCCGAGUUGUAAUUUGUAGAGGAUGCUUUUGGCGAGGCGCCUUCCGAGUACCCUGGAACGGGACGCCACAGAGGGUGAGAGCCCCGUCUGGUCGGAUGCCAAGCCUAUGUAAAGCUCCUUCGACGAGUCGAGUAGUUUGGGAAUGCUGCUCAAAAUGGGAGGUAUAUGUCUUCUAAAGCUAAAUACCGGCCAGAGACCGAUAGCGCACAAGUAGAGUGAUCGAAAGAUGAAAAGCACUUUGAAAAGAGGGUUAAAAAGUACGUGAAAUUGUUGAAAGGGAAGCGCCUAUGACCAGACUUGGGCCCGGUGAAUCAUCCAGCGUUCUCGCUGGUGCACUUUGCCGGGCACAGGCCAGCAUCAGUUUGGCGCGGGGGACAAAGGCUUCGGGAAUGUGGCUCCCCUCGGGGGAGUGUUAUAGCCCGUUGCGCAAUACCCUGCGCCGGACUGAGGUACGCGCUCCGCAAGGAUGCUGGCGUAAUGGUCAUCAGCGACCCGUC